AGAGUUUGAUCCUGGCUCAGGAUGAACGCUAGCGGCAGGCUUAACACAUGCAAGUCGAGGGGUAAUUCCGGCUUUUGUCGGAAACGACCGGCGAACGGGUGAGUAACGCGUAUGCAACCUGCCUGUAACUGCGGCAUAGCCCCGAGAAAUCGGGAUUAAUAUCGCAUAGUAUCCCAGUAUCGCAUGAUACAGGGAUGAAAGCUUCGGCGGUUACAGAUAGGCAUGCGUGACAUUAGCUUGUUGGUGAGGUAACGGCUCACCAAGGCGACGAUGUCUAGGGGGUCUGAGAGGAUGAUCCCCCACACUGGUACUGAGACACGGACCAGACUCCUACGGGAGGCAGCAGUGAGGAAUAUUGCGCAAUGGAGGAAACUCUGACGCAGCCAUGCCGCGUGCAGGAUGACAGCCCUAUGGGUUGUAAACUGCUUUUCUGCAGGAAGAAUCUUCCGUACGUGUACGGAAUUGACGGUACUGCAGGAAUAAGCAUCGGCUAACUCCGUGCCAGCAGCCGCGGUAAUACGGAGGAUGCAAGCGUUAUCCGGAUUCAUUGGGUUUAAAGGGUGCGCAGGCGGAGGUGUAAGUCAGAGGUGAAAGCCCACAGCUUAACUGUGGAAUGGCCUUUGAUACUGCACGUCUUGAGUCUAGCUGAGGUAGGCGGAAUGUAGUAUGUAGCGGUGAAAUGCUUAGAUAUACUACAGAACACCAAUUGCGAAGGCAGCUUACCAAACUAGCACUGACGCUCAGGCACGAAAGCGUGGGUAGCCAACAGGAUUAGAUACCCUGGUAGUCCACGCCGUAAACGUUGAUCACUCGUUGUUGGCAAUAUAUCGUCAGCGACUCAGCAAAAGCUUUAAGUGAUCCACCUGGGGAGUACGAUCGCAAGGUUGAAACUCAAAGGAAUUGACGGGGGCCCGCACAAGCGGAGGAGCAUGUGGUUUAAUUCGAUGAUACGCGAGGAACCUUACCAGGGCUUAAAUGGGAGAUGACAGGAGCAGAGACGCUCUUUUCUUCGGACAUCUUUCAAGGUGCUGCAUGGUUGUCGUCAGCUCGUGCCGUGAGGUGUCAGGUUAAGUCCUAUAACGAGCGCAACCCCUACCGUUAGUUGCCAGCAUGUAAAGAUGGGGACUCUAACGGGACUGCCGGUGCAAACCGUGAGGAAGGUGGGGAUGACGUCAAAUCAUCACGGCCCUUACGUCCUGGGCUACACACGUGCUACAAUGGUAGGUACAGAGAGCAGCCACGCCGCAAGGCGGAGCGAAUCUAUAAAACCUAUCACAGUUCGGAUCGGGGUCUGCAACUCGACCCCGUGAAGCUGGAAUCGCUAGUAAUCGCACAUCAGCCAUGGUGCGGUGAAUACGUUCCCGGGCCUUGUACACACCGCCCGUCAAGCCAUGGAAGCUGGGGGUACCUGAAGUCCGUAACCGUUAAGGAGCGGCCUAGGGUAAAACCGGUGACUGGGGCUAAGUCGUAACAAGGUAGCCG
RNAcentral lists this ribosomal RNA (1482 nucleotides) under uncultured bacterium. Its description in RNAcentral is "bacterial SSU rRNA". It matches the Rfam family "Bacterial small subunit ribosomal RNA". The record is from RNAcentral.